Molecule: long non-coding RNA, 530 nt
Organism: Octopus bimaculoides (California two-spot octopus)
Lineage: Eukaryota; Metazoa; Mollusca; Cephalopoda; Octopoda; Octopodidae
Source: RefSeq, a predicted model, not a curated record
CUUUAAAAAUCCCCCUGUGUCCAAUGCACUCAAUGUAGACUCAAUACUCGCUCAAAACGCUAUGUAUGUUUACAAAACAUGUGCUGCCAUCUAUUGGUGAACAGUUGCCUAUGGUAUGUUUAUAUCGAAUGUGGAUGCAAUAAAUUGCUUAUAAUUACCGGUAAUAACAAAGUUAUACAGGUACAACACUGAUUUACAAGACAGAACCUCUCAUAAUCCACACUAAUAUACAAGCAGGAACUUCAAAUUUUCAUGGCCACCAGACUAGUUUACUGGUACUUUGCACAAUACAGUUUAUACAGGGGAUGAACAGAAUUUGUUGAAGCAGAUUUUUGAUACCUGGAUACCCUUCCUGUUGUUAACUCUCAGCCAUUUCCCAGUAAGGUAAUAGUCCCCUUGACCAGGCAUGUUUCCACAAAAGAUUGGCAAUCAAGGACACAGCUUGCAGAAUGGUGACAUCUCAACUACUACAUGACAUCAAAGCAAGGAGAAAACACACAGACUAUAUAUAUACAUUCAAUUUCGGCCAA